RNAcentral lists this ribosomal RNA (762 nucleotides) under Triticum aestivum (bread wheat). RNAcentral describes it as "partial small subunit ribosomal RNA". The record is from RNAcentral. Lineage: Eukaryota; Viridiplantae; Streptophyta; Magnoliopsida; Poales; Poaceae.
AUGGCUAGUUCUUUACCUUCUGCCUCUAUGUCUGAAAUUGGGGAUACUAUUGUCGAUAACAAUUUUGAUACUCCUACUAAAGAACCCACUAUCUCACAUAUAAAAAGAUUCUGUGUUGGUAGUGGUAAUAUUAUUGGAAAAGGAGUUAUUCAAGAUUUCUUUACUUGUGCCGGUGCUUUACCUUAUAUGGGUAGUUCUAUUCUUCAUAGAAGUAGUAGUCUUGCGGACACUAUUGCCAUGCUUGUAGUUGAACUUGAGAGACAAUUCUUGCACAUGCAUCCUUCUAUACAAAGGAUUUUCCUAGAAUUUUCUAAUAUUGAGCAUUCUUCUGUUAAGCGUAAUGUUACUAUCUUUUUGGCUCAUGAGGUUCGAUUCAUAAUAAAAGAGACCAAAGAAAUCUUUGCGCAUGAUAGGGUGGACGCUUGUCGUCCCCCCAUAGAAACUAUCCUCUUUGAUCAAGAAGAAAUAAUGCGUUUCCAAUCUUUAGACUAUGUUGCUUUCAAUGAAAAUAUCACAAAAAGGGUUCCUACCAAUGUUUUAGUUGAUAUAAUUUGGGAUAUUCUCUUGGAUAUAGGCUCACAAAGUUCUGUUAAAAGAAUGCUUAUAAUGAUGAAUUGGUUGUGCAAUAUGAAGGACCAAAGGAGGAACCUAUACCUCCCAAGGUUGGUCUUGGAGACUUUUGUCCCAACAAAUUUAGCCCUUUUGAUUACUUUUGCUUGCCUCAAAGAAAACUUGCUGCUGAACGUAGAGAAUAUGAAGUGA